UCCAAAUUAAAAGGGAUGUACUUAUUAAAAAAAUCCUGUAAACCCAUUUAAUGGAAUCAUAUAUACCUCAAAUAUAAAUAUUUUUGUGUAUAUUAAUUAGUCACACAAAUGACCACGUGUGAAGAGGCAUUUUAGGUCAGUCCCAUUUUUGAGUCCUAGUGAAGCAAAAAUAUUCAGUAAAGUACUAAAUUAUCUUGAAAAAAGAAAAAAGAAAAAGGAAAAAUCAAUAAUGUAAAAUUUCACAUUAGUCUUCAUAAAUGCUGCACCUCUAAGAGUGUCGAGAGAGUUGUAGUAGUUGUCCCAAUGCACCCGUGUUAAAGCUUCAGAUUUUGUUCAUGGUGUUAGUUGGGUACUAGAGUCCUAAAUUCCUAAUCUCCAUUGAAUGGUAGAUGGAGGUGGAAAAAUUGGUGCACUUAUAUAUAUAUAUAUAUAUGUAUGAACCAUUAUUUGUCUCCCGCUAUUCAGAGCCAUAUAGUGUAACAGUUAAUUUCAUCUUCUUCCAUCAUUUAUGGAUCCACCUCCACCACCAGAAGCACCGCUGCUGCAGCCGCCGCCGGCGGCUCCGCCUGCUGGAGGGUUCUUGGAAUCAUGCUUGUGGUUUCUGUGCUGCUGUGGUCUACUUACAUGUUGCUGCCCUCCACUGUUUGAGCCAGGACCUCCUCCCCCCUAGAGAUGCAUUGCUUAAUUCACAUCUUAUAUGAACAUGUUUGUGUAUGUAUGACAUAGACACACCAUUGUUGUUUGACUCUUUUUUUGGUUUUUUUAUUAAAUUGUCUUGAAUUAAUGUUGACAUAUUUGAAUGUAUUCUAGAGGAACAUUUCUAGUUUAAUUUGUACUUCUAAGGUUUGGAACUUUGUCUGAUAGGUUUUGUCUCUUGCAUAAAAGAUCAUUCAAAUGGGGAAAAAAAAUGAUCUUGAAUUUUUUUUUUGGAAAGGUAUUUUUAAGUUCUUGCAAA
Cornus florida is the source of this 955-nucleotide long non-coding RNA. RefSeq lists it as uncharacterized. The record is from RefSeq and is a predicted model, not a curated record. The transcript is spliced from 2 exons. Lineage: Eukaryota; Viridiplantae; Streptophyta; Magnoliopsida; Cornales; Cornaceae.